UACGUAGGGUGCAAGCGUUGUCCGGAAUUAUUGGGCGUAAAGAGCUCGUAGGCGGUUUGUUGCGUCGGCUGUGAAAGCCCGGGGCUUAACCCCGGGUCUGCAUUCGAUACGGGCUAGCUAGAGUGUGGUAGGGGAGAUCGGAAUUCCUGGUGUAGCGGUGAAAUGCGCAGAUAUCAGGAGGAACACCGGUGGCGAAGGCGGCUUCCUGGACUGACACUGACGCUGAGGCGCGAAAGCUAGGGGAGCAAACGGG
Molecule: ribosomal RNA, 253 nt
Filed under: uncultured bacterium
Lineage: Bacteria
Description: partial 16S ribosomal RNA
Rfam family: Bacterial small subunit ribosomal RNA
Source: RNAcentral